ACAUGGCCGAGCAGGGCGUGCCGUCGCUGUUUCCCACCGACGAGCUGUCGAUCAUCGGUCUGGCGGCGAUUCCGAAACGAUUGCCGAUGAUCCUGCGCAGGAUUCGCGAGACGACCGACGCUGUUCUGAUGGCGCGGCCUGACGUUCUGGUCAUCAUCGACAGCCCGGAUUUCACGCAUCGGGUGGCGCGGCGUGUCCGCG
RNAcentral lists this unclassified non-coding RNA (201 nucleotides) under Hevea brasiliensis (rubber tree). The record is from RNAcentral. Lineage: Eukaryota; Viridiplantae; Streptophyta; Magnoliopsida; Malpighiales; Euphorbiaceae.